Long non-coding RNA from Gossypium raimondii (Peruvian cotton), 709 nucleotides. RefSeq lists it as uncharacterized. NCBI's taxonomy places the organism in Eukaryota, Viridiplantae, Streptophyta, Magnoliopsida, Malvales, Malvaceae. The record is from RefSeq and is a predicted model, not a curated record. The transcript has 3 exons.
UUUCGCUUCUUCACCCUUUUCAAACUCAUUUCUUUCUCCUUUCUUUUUCUCGGAUAUUCUUUCUCCCUCUCUCCAAAGUUCUUCGAUCCUUUCCGUCUCCAAAGCUCUCCAAAGUUAGCUGCAUAUGAUUCGAUUAGAAACUGGAUAUUGCAAGGGUUUCGUUUAAUCAAAGGCCUUUGAAGGAGGACGAUUUAAUGGCAGCGACGACGGCGCAAGGGAUGGACCCAGCAGUACUAGACGAUAUAAUCAGACAGCUGACGGAAGUUCGGUCAGCCAGGCCAGUGAAACAAGUUUGCUUGAACUCGAAGCACCCAUCAAAAUUUGCGGUGACAUACAUGGGCAAUGUAGUGAUUUACUAAGGCUGUUCGAGUAUGGGGGUUUUCCUCCUCAUGCUAAUUACCUAUUUCUAGGCGACUAUGUUGAUCUUGGCAAGCAGAGUUUGGAAACUUCUGGAGAUAACCGAGAAGUGGAACAUGGUUUGUCUGUAAAAUUGCAAGUUCAAAAGUUAAUUCUCCAAGCUACAUCACAUGAAAAUUUGUGCCAGAACUAUGUUGGGUAUGAUGCUCUGCUAUUUUACUACUUUCCUUGUUUAUAUUUGUGGUGCAUGUCUGUCUAUAUAUGUGUUCUAGAAUUUUGUUGAAGGGUAUAUAUUGGAUUUUUAUUUACAUAGUAGGAUAUUAAAAUGACAAACAGGAAGGCACCUCAACAU